RNAcentral lists this ribosomal RNA (1145 nucleotides) under uncultured cyanobacterium. RNAcentral describes it as "bacterial SSU rRNA". It matches the Rfam family "Bacterial small subunit ribosomal RNA", at positions 377 to 1533 of the family's 1533-position model. Lineage: Bacteria; Bacillati; Cyanobacteriota. The record is from RNAcentral.
CGAAGCCUGACGGAGCAAUACCGCGUGAGGGAAGAAGGCUUUUGGGUUGUAAACCUCUUUUGUCAGGGAAGAAGAAUUGACGGUACCUGAAGAAAAAGCAUCGGCUAACUCCGUGCCAGCAGCCGCGGUAAUACGGAGGAUGCAAGCGUUAUCCGGAAUCAUUGGGCGUAAAGGGUCCGCAGGUGGCGAAUAAAGUCUGCUGUUAAAGACCGGGGCUAAACUCCGGAAAGGCAGUGGGAACUGAUUAGCUAGAGUACGGUAGGGGUAGAGGGAAUUCCCAGUGUAGCGGUGAAAUGCGUAGAUAUUGGGAAGAACACCGGUGGCGAAAGCGCUCGACUAGGCCGAAACUGACACUGAGGGACGAAAGCUAGGGUAGCGAAAGGGAUUAGAUACCCCUGUAGUCUUAGCUGUAAACGAUGGAUACUAGGCGUAGCUUGUAUCGACCCGAGCUGUGCCGAAGCUAACGCGAUAAGUAUCCCGCCUGGGGAGUACGCACGCAAGUGUGAAACUCAAAGGAAUUGACGGGGGCCCGCACAAGCGGUGGAGUAUGUGGUUUAAUUCGAUGCAACGCGAAGAACCUUACCAGGGCUUGACAUGUCGCGAAUCUGGCGGAAACGUUAGAGUGCCUUAGGGAACGCGAACACAGGUGGUGCAUGGCUGUCGUCAGCUCGUGUCGUGAGAUGUUGGGUUAAGUCCCGCAACGAGCGCAACCCUCGUCCUUAGUUGCCAAUAUUAAGUUAGGCACUCUAGGGAGACUGCCGGGGACAACUCGGAGGAAGGUGGGGAUGACGUCAAGUCAGCAUGCCCCUUACGUCCUGGGCGACACACGUACUACAAUGGUUGGGACAAAGGGCAGCAAGCUCGCGAGAGUAAGCGAAUCUCAUCAAACCCAGCCACAGUUCAGAUUGCAGGCUGCAACUCGCCUGCAUGAAGUAGGAAUCGCUAGUAAUCGCAGGUCAGCAUACUGCGGUGAAUUCGUUCCCGGGCCUUGUACACACCGCCCGUCACACCAUGGAAGCUGGCUACGCCCGAAGUCGUUACCCUAACCCGGUUUUGGGAGGGGGAUGCCGAAGGUAGAGCUAGUGACUGGGGUGAAGUCGUAACAAGGUAGCCGUACCGGAAGGUGUGGCUGGAUCACCUCCUUU